This 477-nucleotide ribosomal RNA is filed under the name uncultured bacterium. Its description in RNAcentral is "bacterial SSU rRNA". It matches the Rfam family "Bacterial small subunit ribosomal RNA", at positions 39 to 507 of the family's 1533-position model. The record is from RNAcentral.
UGCGGCAUGCCUUACACAUGCAAGGUCGAACGGGCACGCACGGGAGCAAUCCUGGUGGCGAGUGGCGAACGGGUGAGUAAUAUAUCGGAACGUGCCCGGUCGUGGGGGAUAACGUAGCGAAAGCUACGCUAAUACCGCAUACGAUCUACGGAUGAAAGCGGGGGAUCGCAAGACCUCGCGCGAUUGGAGCGGCCGAUAUCAGAUUAGGUAGUUGGUGAGGUAAAGGCUCACCAAGCCGACGAUCUGUAGCUGGUCUGAGAGGACGACCAGCCACACUGGGACUGAGACACGGCCCAGACUCCUACGGGAGGCAGCAGUGGGGAAUUUUGGACAAUGGGCGCAGGCCUGAUCCAGCAAUGCCGCGUGCAGGAUGAAGGCCUUCGGGUUGUAAACUGCUUUUGUACGGAACGAAACGGUGAGCUCUAAUACAGUUUGCUAAUGACGGUACCGUAAGAAUAAGCACCGGCUAACUACGUG